GACGAACGCUGGCGGCGUGCCUAAUACAUGCCAGUAGAACGCUGAAGGAGGAGCUUGCUUCUCUGGAUGAGUUGCGAACGGGUGAGUAACGCGUAGGUAACCUGCCUGGUAGCGGGGGAUAACUAUUGGAAACGAUAGCUAAUACCGCAUAAGAGUAGAUGUUGCAUGACAUUUGCUUAAAAGGUGCAAUUGCAUCACUACCAGAUGGACCUGCGUUGUAUUAGCUAGUUGGUGGGGUAACGGCUCACCAAGGCGACGAUACAUAGCCGACCUGAGAGGGGGAGCGGCCACACUGGGACUGAGACACGGCCCAGACUCCUACGGGAGGCAGCAGUAGGGAAUCUUCAGCAAUGGACGGAAGUCUGACCGAGCAACGCCGCGUGAGUGAAGAAGGUUUUCGGAUCGUAAAGCUCUGUUGUAAGAGAAGAACGAGUGUGAGAGUGGAAAGUUCACACUGUGACGGUAUCUUACCAGAAAGGGACGGCUAACUACGUG
This 495-nucleotide ribosomal RNA is filed under the name uncultured bacterium. RNAcentral describes it as "partial 16S ribosomal RNA". It matches the Rfam family "Bacterial small subunit ribosomal RNA", at positions 28 to 507 of the family's 1533-position model. The record is from RNAcentral.